RNAcentral lists this long non-coding RNA (740 nucleotides) under Gossypium barbadense (sea-island cotton). RNAcentral's name for it is "long non-coding RNA (GBAR_LNC004748)". Lineage: Eukaryota; Viridiplantae; Streptophyta; Magnoliopsida; Malvales; Malvaceae. The record is from RNAcentral.
UAACCUAAAAAGCUCUAGAAAAACAAUGGAUUUUCUGAGAAUUCUUCAUCAUCAAGAUUUUCGUUAGGUUUUUCCGUAGACAUUAACAUGGAGGGGGACAAAAAAAUCAUGGCAUUGAUCCAGCUUACCGCCAUCUCUGUUAUUUUUCUGAUCAACCUCGUCUUAGUUUGCAUGAAACGACGUGCCACUGUUGCUUCAAAUCGUCUUGCUACUAUCUCUGGGGAGGCCGACGUUGAUGUAGAACUUCCCUAGAUAUGAUGGUAAAACGUUCAUUUCUCUCCCCCUUCUAGCAUUUUUUAUAAAGCAUAUAAUGUUGGAAUUUUUAUUUUUAUAAAGCAAACGAAUUUCUCAAACAUGUUUAGCAUCGUUUUUUUACUUCGAUGAGAGCCCUUGAAUUCGCCUGAAGAGGAUCAUGGGACAAUGGCACCACAUGUGGGAGGCAGUAGUAUAAUAAAAUGCCUGAUUACUAUAUUUGUUAUAAUUUGAUCGAUCAAAAUUUGUUUUAUUAUAAAUAAUUAACUUUUUUCAAUAAUGUAUUUUAUUAGCAGAUAACUUCCUUUCUGGCGGUUGGUACAGUAGGAGUUUUAUGGUGUUAAAGAGAAUAAAGUUGCUUUUGGCGAUAGACUGUUACCUUAAACUGGAUUUUACGUAAGGCUUUGUACUUCCAUCCAUGAUGCAAUAAAAGUGGAGUGAACUUAUUUUAUUUCUUUGGCUUUAAAGAUGAUUUGGGUGUUUUUGGG